RNAcentral lists this ribosomal RNA (253 nucleotides) under uncultured bacterium. RNAcentral describes it as "partial 16S ribosomal RNA". It matches the Rfam family "Bacterial small subunit ribosomal RNA", at positions 524 to 776 of the family's 1533-position model. The record is from RNAcentral.
UACAGAGGAGGCAAGCGUUAUUCGGAAUUAUUGGGCGUAAAGGGCGCGUAGGCGGCCUGGCAAGUGGAAGGUGAAAUCCCUCGGCUUAACCGAGGAACUGCCCUCCAAACUGCUUGGCUUGAGUCCGGGAGAGGUGAGUGGAAUUCCCAGUGUAGCGGUGAAAUGCGUAGAUAUUGGGAGGAACACCAGUGGCGAAGGCGGCUCACUGGACCGGAACUGACGCUGAGGCGCGAAAGCGUGGGGAGCAAACGGG